RNAcentral lists this long non-coding RNA (607 nucleotides) under Rattus norvegicus (Norway rat). RNAcentral describes it as "long non-coding RNA NONRATT030470". Lineage: Eukaryota; Metazoa; Chordata; Mammalia; Rodentia; Muridae. The record is from RNAcentral.
AAAAGAUCUUUACCAAUCCUACAACAGAUAGAGGCCUUAUUUCCAAAAUAUACAAAGAACUCAAGAAGUUAGACCGCAGGGAAACAAAUAACCCUAUUAAAAAAUGGGGUUCAGAGCUAAACAAAGAAUUCACAGCUGAGGAAUGCCGAAUGGCUGAGAAACACCUAAAGAAAUGUUCAACAUCUUUAGUCAUAAGGGAAAUGCAAAUCAAAACAACCCUGAGAUUUCACCUCACACCAGUGCGAUUGGCUAAGAUCAAAAACUCAGGUGACAGCAGAUGCUGGCGAGGAUGUGGAGAAAGAGGAACACUCCUCCAUUGUUGGUGGGAUUGCAGACUGGUAAAACCAUUCUGGAAAUCAGUCUGGAGGUUCCUCAGAAAAUUGGACAUUGAACUGCCUGAGGAUCCAGCUAUACCUCUCUUGGGCAUAUACCCAAAAGAUGCCUCAACAUAUAAAAGAGACACGUGCUCCACUAUGUUCAUCGCAGCCUUAUUUAUAAUAGCCAGAAAAUGGAAAGAACCCAGAUGCCCUUCAACAGAGGAAUGGAUACAGAAAAUGUGGUACAUCUACACAAUGGAAUAUUACUCAGCUAUCAAAAACAAUGAGUU